CAGAACGAACGCUGGCGGCGUGCUAACACAUGCAAGUCGAACGCGAAAGGGACUUCGGUCCUGAGUAAAGUGGCGCACGGGUGAGUAACGCGUAGAUAACCUGUCUUCAUGUCUGGAAUAAUACGCCGAAAGGGGUACUAAUACCGGAUAUUCUUGCUUUUCAUAAGUUAUGCAAGCAAAGGUGGCCUCUGCAUAUGCUACUGCAUGAAGAGGGGUCUGCGUACCAUUAGCUAGUAGGUGGGGUAAUGGCCUACCUAGGCGACGAUGGUUAGCGGGUCUGAGAGGAUGAUCCGCCACACUGGCACUGGAACACGGGCCAGACUCCUACGGGAGGCAGCAGUGAGGAAUAUUGCGCAAUGGGGGAAACCCUGACGCAGCGACGCCGCGUGAGUGAGGAAGGCCUUCGGGUCGUAAAGCUCUGUCAAGAGGAAAGAAGUGUACAAUGGCUAAUACCUGUUGUAUUUGACGGUACCUCUAAAGGAAGCACCGGCUAACUCCGUGCCAGCAGCCGC
This 512-nucleotide ribosomal RNA is filed under the name uncultured bacterium. RNAcentral describes it as "bacterial SSU rRNA". It matches the Rfam family "Bacterial small subunit ribosomal RNA", at positions 25 to 518 of the family's 1533-position model. The record is from RNAcentral.